AUUGAACGCUGGCGGCAUGCUUUACACAUGCAAGUCGAACGGCAGCGCGGGCUUCGGCCUGGCGUCGAGUGGCGAACGGGUGAGUAAUACAUCGGAACGUGCCCAGUCGUGGGGGAUAGCUCGGCGAAAGCCGGAUUAAUACCGCAUACGACCUGAUGGUGAAAGCGGGGGAUCUUCGGACCUCGCGCUUUUGGAUCUGCCGAUGGCAGAUUAGCUAGUUGGUGGGGUAAAGGCCUACCAAGGCGACGAUCUGUAGCUGGUCUGAGAGGACGACCAGCCACACUGGGACUGAGACACGGCCCAGACUCCUACGGGAGGCAGCAGUGGGGAAUUUUGGACAAUGGGCGAAAGCCUGAUCCAGCAAUGCCGCGUGUGUGAUGAAGGCCUUCGGGUUGUAAAGCACUUUUGGCGGGAACGAAAAGGACUGUGCCAAUACCACGGUUCGAUGACGGUACCCGCAGAAUAAGCACCGGCUAACUACGUG
RNAcentral lists this ribosomal RNA (484 nucleotides) under uncultured bacterium. RNAcentral's name for it is "partial 16S ribosomal RNA". It matches the Rfam family "Bacterial small subunit ribosomal RNA", at positions 30 to 507 of the family's 1533-position model. The record is from RNAcentral.